This 253-nucleotide ribosomal RNA is filed under the name uncultured bacterium. RNAcentral describes it as "partial 16S ribosomal RNA". It matches the Rfam family "Bacterial small subunit ribosomal RNA", at positions 524 to 776 of the family's 1533-position model. The record is from RNAcentral.
UACGAAGGGGGCUAGCGUUGCUCGGAAUUACUGGGCGUAAAGGGCGCGUAGGCGGCUUUGUUAGUCAGGCGUGAAAAUCCUGGGCUCAACCUGGGGACUGCGCUUGAUACGGCAGGGCUAGAGGACGGAAGAGGCUCGCGGAAUUCCCAGUGUAGAGGUGAAAUUCGUAGAUAUUGGGAAGAACACCGGUGGCGAAGGCGGCGAGCUGGUCCGUUACUGACGCUGAGGCGCGACAGCGUGGGGAGCAAACAGG